RNAcentral lists this long non-coding RNA (246 nucleotides) under Mytilus galloprovincialis (Mediterranean mussel). Lineage: Eukaryota; Metazoa; Mollusca; Bivalvia; Mytilida; Mytilidae. The record is from RNAcentral.
UUCGUGCUUUUCCACAGUUUCUUUGAUCAAUAUUUUUAACAAAGCAUAACAUAAUAACUGGGUAUGAUUGAAGGAAAAUAUGAGAAAUUUUUCUGCUACAGAAAAUGAAAUUCUCCAUUGAAGAUUUUCAUUGCUAGACCCUUUGUAACCAAUUGGAACAAAAAGUACUACACAGAAUAUUAUUUUAGAAAUAACAUCAGGACAAGGCCAUGUUGUUCUAGGUCUAAUGAUCCAUGGUUGUGCUUG